RNAcentral lists this small nucleolar RNA (94 nucleotides) under Cucumis melo (muskmelon). RNAcentral describes it as "Small nucleolar RNA snoR20a". It matches the Rfam family "Small nucleolar RNA snoR20a". Rfam says of the family: The O.sativum sequence was obtained from the plant snoRNA database. The record is from Rfam by way of RNAcentral. Lineage: Eukaryota; Viridiplantae; Streptophyta; Magnoliopsida; Cucurbitales; Cucurbitaceae.
GCCGGUGAUGAACAGUUUUUUGGUUGACAGAGGUGCAAAAAAUGUAAUAUUUGCAUUGGUGUUGAAACUUUUUUGAACUAGGACGGUCUGAGGC